UACGUAGGUGGCAAGCGUUGUCCGGAUUUAUUGGGCUUAAAGGGUGCGUAGGCGGCUCUGUAAGUCAGUGGUGAAAUCUCCCGGCUUAACCGGGAGGGUGGCAUUGAUACUGUGGGGCUAGAGUACAGAUGAGGUAGGCGGAAUUGACGGUGUAGCGGUGAAAUGCUUAGAUAUCGUCAAGAACACCUAUAGCGAAGGCAGCUUACUAGGCUGUAACUGGCGCUGAGGCACGAAAGUGUGGGGAUCAAACAGG
RNAcentral lists this ribosomal RNA (253 nucleotides) under uncultured bacterium. RNAcentral's name for it is "partial 16S ribosomal RNA". It matches the Rfam family "Bacterial small subunit ribosomal RNA", at positions 524 to 776 of the family's 1533-position model. The record is from RNAcentral.